This 1182-nucleotide long non-coding RNA is filed under the name Gossypium raimondii (Peruvian cotton). RNAcentral describes it as "long non-coding RNA (GRAI_LNC003882)". The record is from RNAcentral. Lineage: Eukaryota; Viridiplantae; Streptophyta; Magnoliopsida; Malvales; Malvaceae.
GGAGAGAGAAGAAAAUAAGAGAGAUAAUCAUUUUUCAUUUUUCAUCCUAAUGCAUACAAAUAAAUCCUUCCAAAUUGGAAUAAUGAGAUGAGAAAAAAUAAAAGAAAUGUGUAUGUUAGCUCAAAAGUGUGCAUUUCUGUAACUCCCUAUACUUGGCUCAGUCGUCGAGCCUGAAUAAUAGGACGCUACAGCAAACAUCACAAAUGCUUACAUUUCACACGAUCUCAUCUACAUACAAUCAUUGUCACUGUACAAGCCCAAUUUCGCCAGGGCCUAAACAAACAAAACAGAAAAUACCAGCCCACUACCCAAAAUAACAGACCCAAACCAAUUACAAGCCCAAUUACCCAAACCCAUUUCCAGCAGCCCAAAACAAACAAAACAAAAAAUCAGCAAACCCUAGCCCUCAUAAGCCUCCUAGCGCCGUACGCCCCUGCCAUGCCUAGCUACCACCGCUGUUUUCCCCAUGCGUCCCAUCCUCUGCUCCUCUGUCGCUGCCCACUCGCCAUCAGUCCCUGCAAAGUAAAAGAAACACGCAACCAAGCAGAAGAAAAUAGAAGAAAAAGAAAAAACAAGUCUUUUUUCAGCUAUAAGAGUCGAACUUCAAUGUAGAAAAAGGGGGGCUUCAUCAUUGUAAUCGGGGGGAGUUUUCUUUUGAUUUUUUCUUUCGGCUACAAAGCCGAAUAUGCUGUAAAAAAGGGGGUGUUUUUCUUUUGGAAAAGAAAUAAAUAAAACAGCAGAUUUCAAGCAAAAAAAGCAAAGAUUCAAACAUCAAAAAAGGAAAAGCAAAGGUUUUUUUUAGUUUUCCAAAACUCUUUUAUUUAUUUAUUUAUUAUUAUUAUUUACUGCUGUUUUGUUUUAAUGUAUAUGUACACAUAUAUGUAAAAAAAUAAAAAAAAGGGUACCUUCCGAACUUUCCGGCUACCGUGGACGGUGACCGGCGCGGCGGCGCUACGGCGGUCCCUCGCCGGUUUCUGGGCUUUGGCCAGAGAGAACAAAAAAAAGAGAGGAUAUUUGGUUGUUUUUUUUGAGAGAACGAAGAAGAAUGAAAUUUUAAAAAAAAAAAAAAGACUUAAAUAGGCUUCCAAAACGACGUCGUUUUAGACAGCCUUCUCAGGCACCAAAACGGCGCCGUUUUGGCAUGACCCGUACCCGACCCGAUCGGUAAGCCUAGGAUCCGCG